GCCGAAAUUUUGUAAGGGGAAAACAACUCAUCUGAUUGUUAUUAUAUAUCCUUAAAUGGAAAGUUCAUUGUAAAUUAAAGAAAUCUAGCCAACCAUAGAAAGUAGUAUGGACAAAUUGAAUUAGCCCUGACGAUCGUGUGACCCCUCUUGCUUCCAUUCUGUUUACCUGCUCCACUGAGCACUCCCUUCAAUUACAAAAUUAGUCCACAUUGAUGCUCUAUAAUCUUUGUUUGCCUCGUGACAAAAUAUACUACACUAUUAAAAAUGAAGUAGAACUCUAAAUCUUCUCUCUAACGCAUUGAA
Molecule: long non-coding RNA, 303 nt
Filed under: Glycine max (soybean)
Lineage: Eukaryota; Viridiplantae; Streptophyta; Magnoliopsida; Fabales; Fabaceae
Description: long non-coding RNA (GMAX_LNC000006)
Source: RNAcentral